This is a long non-coding RNA of Megalobrama amblycephala (Wuchang bream), 192 nucleotides long. RefSeq lists it as uncharacterized. NCBI's taxonomy places the organism in Eukaryota, Metazoa, Chordata, Actinopteri, Cypriniformes, Xenocyprididae. The transcript has 2 exons. The record is from RefSeq and is a predicted model, not a curated record.
AAUGACGCAUGACUGCAGGUGCUUCAGAGCGCCAUUAUCAUCACAUAUCAAAAUAAACAUCGUUAUCAGUUUCAAGCUGAUGGGUCUGCCCCAACCAGGAGUGAUGGACUGAAGAAUUUUCAAUGCUCUUAUCCUGUUUUAUUGUACUUUUAUUUUUCUUCUUAUGAUCAAUAAAAAAAGUUGUUUCACAAA